Molecule: small RNA, 404 nt
Filed under: Shewanella oneidensis MR-1
Lineage: Bacteria; Pseudomonadati; Pseudomonadota; Gammaproteobacteria; Alteromonadales; Shewanellaceae
Description: CsrA protein sequestering small RNA CsrB1
Source: RNAcentral
UCAACCUAGGAUUGGUUAAGGAAAAGCAGGUCUGCUUUCUCAUGGAUGAUACAGGAUACAAUGCUUGUUAGGACGACAGGUUUAAGGAUGAUAAAGGACAAGCUUAAGGAUUAAGCAUGACUCGGUGCAGGAUGUGUCGAGUAAAGGGAUAAGUAUAAGGGUGAACAGCUUGUACUCGUCUAUGGAAGGUAUUGAGCAGGAUGCGUUGUGGAAUGAGUCAUAGGAUGUGACUGGAGCCGAAAUAGGAUUUUCGGAUCAAGGGAUUGAGUGUCAUGGUAAAACCAUCACACAGGGAAGAUAAAGGAUGCAGGGAUGGUAGGACGCACGCAUACGCAUGGAUGGUGCAGGGAGCACGAAUAAGCAGGAUGGCUUACAGAGGAUAAAUGGGGCGCACAUAGUGCGCC